CAUGGGUGAAACGCAAGCACAAUAUCUGAGAAAACCACAUACAGACACCUAGUCUUCGUCACAACAAGGCCUGAUUAUUGGAACCAUUCUCCGCAAAAGACAAACCCAGAGUUCUUACCGGACUCUCCACAGAGCAGCGCUACGUCAAAGACAUUGAGAAGUCGGAGCCCGACCGCGGACCCUAAAUGCACCACCUCAAAAAACCGUUUCGACUUCGGGGGAACUGUCGCAACCCGCGGCUUCGUUCUGGCCUCCGGGGGCGAACAGCCGCGUUUAGGGGAGAGGGCCGGUGCUAAAGGCCGAACACGUGUCCGUCUCCCCCCGCUCAGCCGUUACCUUUCGAGGCUCCGGGUUCUCCUGGAGCCGCGACUGAAGUCUGUCCACUGCUUCCAGCAGCUCCUCCGCCAUGUUUACUGCUGGUACCCUGUCGCCCGGAAACUACUUCAUCCGGAUUGAACCGCGGCGACGAAAGAGGAGGUUCCGCCUGUCGAGUUUUAAAAUCAGCGUUAACAUUUAAAUAAAUGACUCAUUAAACUAC
Molecule: long non-coding RNA, 538 nt
Organism: Scophthalmus maximus (turbot)
Lineage: Eukaryota; Metazoa; Chordata; Actinopteri; Pleuronectiformes; Scophthalmidae
Exons: 2
Source: RefSeq, a predicted model, not a curated record